Molecule: ribosomal RNA, 483 nt
Filed under: uncultured bacterium
Lineage: Bacteria
Description: partial 16S ribosomal RNA
Rfam family: Bacterial small subunit ribosomal RNA
Source: RNAcentral
GAUGAACGCUAGCGGCAGGCUUAAUACAUGCAAGUCGAGGGGGCAGCAAUGUCACCGGCGGACGGGUGCGUAACGCGUAUGGAACCUACCUUUAUCAGGGGGAUAGCCCGGGGAAACCCGGAUUAAUACCGCAUAAUAUAUUGAACGGCAUCGUUUAAUAUUGAAAGAUUUAUUGGAUAGAGAUGGUCAUGCGUAGGAUUAGCUAGUUGGUAAGGUAACGGCUUACCAAGGCGACGAUCCUUAGGGGCUCUGAGAGGAGUAACCCCCACACUGGCACUGAGAUACGGGCCAGACUCCUACGGGAGGCAGCAGUAGGGAAUAUUGGGCAAUGGGCGAGAGCCUGACCCAGCCAUGCCGCGUGCAGGAAGACGGCCCUCUGGGUUGUAAACUGCUUUUGAAUGGGAAGAACGGUAAGCCUGCGGGCUUAAUUGACGGUACCAUUAGAAUAAGCCACGGCUAACUACGUGCCAGCCGCCGCAGUAA